Molecule: long non-coding RNA, 276 nt
Filed under: Elaeis guineensis (African oil palm)
Lineage: Eukaryota; Viridiplantae; Streptophyta; Magnoliopsida; Arecales; Arecaceae
Description: long non-coding RNA (EGUI_LNC075272)
Source: RNAcentral
CCGAGCGGCAUCCCCAUUCCAUAUAGAAAAGCCCCAUUGGCGGCCCCGACGGUGCCCAGAGAGAAGGAUUGGAGAGGCAGCCUUUCUUCCAUUCCUCCAUGGAAAAAUUUUAGGUCAAGAGUCAAUGGAAAAGCUCCUAAUAACUUCCCGCAGAAGACUUGAAUAUGUCUCCUGGAUAAAAUUGGGUCAUGAAGAAUGCUUUUCUUCCAAUGUAGACUUGGACUUGCUAAUUUAUCCAUUCUGUUGGCGCAUGUGGAAAGAUAGAAGAUUUUAUUC